AUGGGUGAUGGCGUGCCUUUUGUAGAAUGAACCGGCGAGUUACGUUCCCGUGCAAGGUUAAGGUGAAGAGCUGAAGCCGCAGCGAAAGCGAGUCUGAAUAGGGCGAAUGAGUACGUGGACGUAGACCCGAAACCGGGUGAUCUACCCCUGUCCAGGGUGAAGGUGCGGUAACACGCACUGGAGGCCCGAACCCACGCAUGUUGAAAAAUGCGGGGAUGAGGUGGGGGUAGCGGAGAAAUUCCAAUCGAACCCGGAGAUAGCUGGUUCUCCCCGAAAUAGCUUUAGGGCUAGCCUCGGAAAGAAGAAUCGUGGAGGUAGAGCACUGAUUGGGUGCGGGGCCCGCAAGGGUUACCAAGCUCAGUCAAACUCCGAAUGCCAUAGAUUUAGUUCCGGGAGUCAGACAGUGAGUGCUAAGAUCCAUUGUCGAAAGGGAAACAGCCCAGACCAUCAGCUAAGGUCCCCAAGUGUGUGUUAAGUGGGAAAGGAUGUGGAGUUGCACAGACAACCAGGAUGUUGGCUUAGAAGCAGCCACCAUUGAAAGAGUGCGUAAUAGCUCACUGGUCGAGUGACUCUGCGCCGAAAAUGUAACGGGGCUAAACACACCACCGAAGCUAUGGCUUGAUGCUUGCAUCAGGGGUAGGGGAGCGUUGAAUGCGGGUUGAAGGUGUACCGGAAGGAGCGCUGGACUGCAUUCAAGUGAGAAUGCCGGUAUGAGUAACGAAAAGAUCUGUGAGAAUCAGAUCCGCCGAAAGCCUAAGGGUUCCUGAGGAAGGUUCGUCCGCUCAGGGUAAGUCGGGACCUAAGGCGAGGCCGAUAGGCGUAGUCGAAGGACAACAGGUGGAAAUUCCUGUACCACCGUAAUCCGCUAUGAGCGAUGGGGUGACGCAGUAGGGUAGUGACGCGGACUGAUGGAUGUCCGUCUAAGCAGUGAGGCUGAUGUGUAGGCAAAUCCGCACAUCGUAAGGCUGGGCUGUGAUGGGGAGCGAAAAUUAUAGUAGCGAAGGUCAUGAUCUCAGACUGCCAAGAAAAGCCUCUAGCCAGGAGAAGGUGCCCGUACCGCAAACCGACACAGGUAGGCGAGAAGAGAAUUCUAAGGCGCGCGGAAGAACUCUCGUUAAGGAACUCGGCAAAAUGACCCCGUAACUUCGGGAGAAGGGGUGCCUCGGUAGGGUGAAUAGCCCGAGGGGGCCGCAGUGAAAAGGCCCAAGCGACUGUUUAGCAAAAACACAGGUCUGUGCGAAGCCGCAAGGCGAAGUAUACGGGCUGACGCCUGCCCGGUGCUGGAAGGUUAAGGGGAGUGGUAAGCCUUCGGGCGAAGCUAUGAACCGAAGCCCCAGUAAACGGCGGCCGUAACUAUAACGGUCCUAAGGUAGCGAAAUUCCUUGUCAGGUAAAUUCUGACCCGCACGAAUGGCGUAACGACUUGGGCGCUGUCUCAACGAGAGAUCCGGUGAAAUUUUAAUACCUGUGAAGAUGCAGGUUACCCGCGACAAGACGGAAAGACCCCAUGGAGCUUUACUGCAGCUUGAUAUUGAAUUUGGGUACGAUCUGUACAGGAUAGGUGGGAGCCGUUGAACCUUGAGCGCCAGCUUGAGGGGAGGCAUCCUUGGGAUACCACCCUGAUCGUAUCUAGGUUCUAACUUGGUACCGUGAUCCGGUACGAGGACAGUGUCAGGUGGGCAGUUUGACUGGGGCGGUCGCCUCCUAAAGAGUAACGGAGGCGCCCCAAGGUUCCCUCAGAAUGGUUGGAAAUCAUUCGAAGAGUGCAAAGGCAGAAGGGAGCUUGACUGCGAGACCUACAAGUCGAGCAGGGACGAAAGUCGGGCUUAGUGAUCCGGUGGUACCGCAUGGAAGGGCCAUCGCUCAACGGAUAAAAGCUACCCUGGGGAUAACAGGCUUAUCUCCCCCAAGAGUCCACAUCGACGGGGAGGUUUGGCACCUCGAUGUCGGCUCAUCGCAUCCUGGGGCUGAAGUAGGUCCCAAGGGUUGGGCUGUUCGCCCAUUAAAGCGGUACGCGAGCUGGGUUCAGAACGUCGUGAGACAGUUCGGUCCCUAUCUGUCGUGGGCGUAGGAAAUUUGAGAGGAGCUGUCCUUAGUACGAGAGGACCGGGAUGGACGUACCGCUGGUGUACCAGUUGUUCCGCCAGGAGCACCGCUGGGUAGCUAUGUACGGAAGGGAUAAGCGCUGAAAGCAUCUAAGCGUGAAGCCCCCCUCAAGAUGAGAUUUCCCAAUUAGUAAGACCCCUU
RNAcentral lists this ribosomal RNA (2246 nucleotides) under Paenibacillus polymyxa A18. RNAcentral's name for it is "bacterial LSU rRNA". It matches the Rfam family "Bacterial large subunit ribosomal RNA", at positions 589 to 2839 of the family's 2925-position model. Lineage: Bacteria; Bacillati; Bacillota; Bacilli; Caryophanales; Paenibacillaceae. The record is from RNAcentral.